GUAACAUGGAUUGCUUGCAAUCUGAUGACGAGUGGCGCACGGGUGCGUAACGCGUAUGCAAUCUACCUUUUACAGGAGAAUAGCCCAGAGAAAUUUGGAAUAAUGCUCCAUAAUAUCAUUUAUCAGCAUUGGUUUAUGAUUAAAGCUCCGGCGGUAAAAGAUGAGCAUGCGUUCUAUUAGCUAGUAGGUGAGGUAACGGCUCACCUAGGCUACGAUAGAUAGGGGCCCUGAGAGGGGGAUCCCCCACACUGGUACUGAGACACGGACCAGACUCCUACGGGAGGCAGCAGUGAGGAAUAUUGGACAAUGGAGGAAACUCUGAUCCAGCCAUGCCGCGUGCAGGAUGACUGCCCUAUGGGUUGUAAACUGCUUUUAUAUAGGAAGAAACACUCCCACGUGUGGGGGCUUGACGGUACUAUAUGAAUAAGGAUCGGCUAACUCCGUGCCAGCAGCCGCGGUAAUACGGAGGAUCCAAGCGUUAUCCGGAAUCAUUGGGUUUAAAGGGUCCGCAGGCGGCCUGUUAAGUCAGAGGUGAAAUCCUACAGCUCAACUGUAGAACUGCCUUUGAUACUGAUAGGCUUGAGUUAUUGUGAAGUGGUUAGAAUGUGUGGUGUAGCGGUGAAAUGCUUAGAUAUCACACAGAAUACCCAUUGCGAAGGCAGAUCACUAACAAUAUACUGACGCUCAUGGACGAAAGCGUGGGGAGCGAACGGGAUUAGAUACCCCGGUAGUCCACGCCGUAAACGAUGGAUACUAACUGUUCGACCUUCGGGUUGAGUGGUCAAGCGAAAGUGAUAAGUAUCCCACCUGGGGAGUA
This 817-nucleotide ribosomal RNA is filed under the name uncultured marine bacterium. RNAcentral's name for it is "bacterial SSU rRNA". It matches the Rfam family "Bacterial small subunit ribosomal RNA", at positions 69 to 882 of the family's 1533-position model. The record is from RNAcentral.